GACGAACGCUGGCGGCGUGCCUAAUACAUGCAAGUAGAACGCUGAAGGAGGAGCUUGCUUCUCUGGAUGAGUUGCGAACGGGUGAGUAACGCGUAGGUAACCUGCCUGGUAGCGGGGGAUAACUAUUGGAAACGAUAGCUAAUACCGCAUAAGAGUAGAUGUCGCAUGACAUUUGCUUAAAAGGUGCAAUUGCAUCACUACCAGAUGGACCUGCGUUGUAUUAGCUAGUUGGUGAGGUAACGGCUCACCAAGGCAACGAUACAUAGCCGACCUGAGAGGGUGAUCGGCCACACUGGGACUGAGACACGGCCCAGACUCCUACGGGAGGCAGCAGUAGGGAAUCUUCGGCAAUGGACGGAAGUCUGACCGAGCAACGCCGCGUGAGUGAAGAAGGUUUUCGGAUCGUAAAGCUCUGUUGUAAGAGAAGAACGAGUGUGAGAGUGGAAAGUUCACACUGUGACGGUAUCUUACCAGAAAGGGACGGCUAACUACGUGCCAGCAGCCGCGGUAAUACGUAGGUCCCGAGCGUUGUCCGGAUUUAUUGGGCGUAAAGCGAGCGCAGGCGGUUAGAUAAGUCUGAAGUUAAAGGCUGUGGCUUAACCAUAGUACGCUUUGGAAACUGUUUAACUUGAGUGCAAGAGGGGAGAGUGGAAUUCCAUGUGUAGCGGUGAAAUGCGUAGAUAUAUGGAGGAACACCGGUGGCGAAAGCGGCUCUCUGGCUUGUAACUGACGCUGAGGCUCGAAAGCGUGGGGAGCAAACAGG
RNAcentral lists this ribosomal RNA (763 nucleotides) under uncultured Streptococcus sp. RNAcentral's name for it is "bacterial SSU rRNA". It matches the Rfam family "Bacterial small subunit ribosomal RNA", at positions 28 to 776 of the family's 1533-position model. Lineage: Bacteria; Bacillati; Bacillota; Bacilli; Lactobacillales; Streptococcaceae. The record is from RNAcentral.